Molecule: non-coding RNA, 146 nt
Filed under: Homo sapiens (human)
Lineage: Eukaryota; Metazoa; Chordata; Mammalia; Primates; Hominidae
Source: Rfam by way of RNAcentral
GCUGGGCAUGGUAGCGUGUGCCUGUAGUCCCAGCUACUCAGAGGCGAGGCAGGUGGAUCUCUUGAGCCCAAGAGUGCUGGACUGCAGUGGGCUAUGAUGGCGCCACUGCACUCCAGCAUAGAUGACAGAGCGAGAUCCUGUCUCAA